UCUUGGUCAUAUUUUCCACCUUCACAUACACACAGUUUCACUCACAGCAUCCUAUCUGCCAUUAAUCAUCAUUAUCACCCAGCUUGGAACACAGUGAUGGGACAUGCUUAAAAUUGGUAUGAGCUGCUCUGUGCUUGAUUAUUUUUCCUGCCUGCUCCCAAAUGCUUCCCCCCCUCACAUCCUGCUUCUAAUCUUCAUCUGCUCCUGACAUUUUUACUGCUCAACAGUUUCCGUCUUCAAACAAUGACAGGUAGCAGGAGGAUUAAUCAAAGGGAUCAAGUCCAAGGAUUGAUACUUGUAAUUCCUAAGAAAACACAUAGCAUCUCUGUGGCCCUGAUAUUUAAAUGAAUAAGACAAUGGUGUUAUGCUAUGGGAGACUCAUAUCAAAAUUAGUGUUUUAGAAACAGAUAGUUUUAAAGAGAGUUUUAUGUAAGUAGAUGUUAAAUGUAUACAAGAGUUUGCACAUAAACACAUGUAAUCAUACCCUCCUCAUUAUCAUUAUGUGAAUAGAAAAUAAAGCCUAGAAGACAGCUGUCCCAAAGUCAAGAACAUUAAGAAAAAAAUUGUAUGCAAUUUGAUAAAACAUACAAUAACAAAGUAGCGGAUUUGAGAAAAGUGAAUACAGCUUCCUCUUCCAAUUGCUAAAACAGCAUUGAGGUAACUAUCCAUCUAAAAUAAGCACUUCCAACCCUCCCCAAUACACAUUCUUAGAAACACAGACAAACAUACACUCCUCACACAGAGAGGAACAUUUAGAUCCUGCAUGACCUCUGACACAAGACCAAGGGUCAACCACACUUUUCAGGCUGAGGUUGAUGUGUCCAUUAUGCUGUCAACCCAUUGGCUGGAUGAAUAGGAGCAAAUAGAGCUAAUUAGGGUCUUUUAUGAACAAUCAGUCACGAUGCAAAGUUUCCUUCAGUUACUGUUCUUUAUUGCUUUUCCACAUGGACACUCCACUGCUUCCAAAACACAGAGGCUCUUUUCUUUGGACGGGGUGUGUGUUUUGCACUGGGCCGCGUUGCUCCCACUGCUUACUGCUCCAUCUGACCUGUUUGAGAGCAAGUCAUGGAACCACAGAACACAGAACCAACUACCACAAUGAGGGGAAUCCAGGACAGAACCUGAGAGUAAAUGCUUUCUAACAGUCUUUAUCAAAAUCAUCUAGAUGAUGGGAAUGCAUGUCUCAGAGGUCUACAUGUUUCUUAAUGCUGAACGUUUAUCCAUCCACAGAUGUCAUUAGUCAUUUUUGUAUAUGAUAGGGCCAAUAUGCAAUUUCCAUGUGAAUAAAGUGUAAAAAUUAUGU
This is a long non-coding RNA of Tachysurus fulvidraco (yellow catfish), 1303 nucleotides long. RefSeq lists it as uncharacterized. The record is from RefSeq and is a predicted model, not a curated record. The transcript is spliced from 4 exons. NCBI's taxonomy places the organism in Eukaryota, Metazoa, Chordata, Actinopteri, Siluriformes, Bagridae.